Mustela lutreola (European mink) is the source of this 827-nucleotide long non-coding RNA. RefSeq lists it as uncharacterized. Lineage: Eukaryota; Metazoa; Chordata; Mammalia; Carnivora; Mustelidae. The record is from RefSeq and is a predicted model, not a curated record. The transcript has 2 exons.
UGAACAAGAAAGAUAAGUGAUGAUGUGUAAAUGAGCAAAAGGUGACUCUAGGCCCCAAAACUAGAUGAAGUCUGGGAAGAACCCACUUGUGUUUCCUAGUCCCAAGUGUUGGGGCAGGGCAACUGAAGAGCUUUGGAGAGAUAAGAAUGGUAAGAGAAUCUGAGAAGCCAGACUUCAAGUGUCAUGUCUCCAUCCAGACUGUGCAUGUUGGCGAUUUGAGUGAGAUUUCUGGGGGGUCCCUGAUCACAUGCCUACCGGACACUGACUUCCGCAAUCAGAAGUGCUGUCCCACAGCGCUGCAGGGAAGGGGACUGCUUUCUGUGCUGGCUGGGCACCUAUGGCCCUGUGAGUGGGCUAUGAGCGGAGAUCAUGCCUAGCACCUUCCUGACAAGAGAGCCAUGAGCUCUAUUUUGAGAUGGUGGUGUGCCCCGUUCACAGAAAACAGAUUUAUACAUUGAUUGAAUGGUUCAUUCUAAGCGAUUCCAAAAGAAAUGAAGGAGAAAGCAACCUCUCCAGGAACGACCCCAUUCCAGCAACUCCUCUCCUGUUGGAAAACAACCACCAAAUCUUAACCGAAUGAUGGGCGCCCGCUUGCUGAUCCAGCACCCCUCUAUCCUGUGUCCCCGGAUUGCCGUGUGUGAGUAAAAAGAACAUGUGGCAAGGUACAGGGUGGGGACAACUCUUUUAACUUACUCCUUUAACUUGUUUGAACUUUAAUACAUUUAUACAUCAGCCAAGAGGGUUUUUUUGUUUGUUUACUUUAGAAGAAUAACCUGUGCUUCUUAUAAAACAAGAUGCAACAAAAUAAAAAUGUACAAAAAGUGAGA